UAGGGAAUUUUCCGCAAUGGGCGAAAGCCUGACGGAGCAACGCCGCGUGAGUGAUGAAGGUCUUCGGAUCGUAAAACUCUGUUAUUAGGGAAGAACAAAUGUGUAAGUAACUAUGCACGUCUUGACGGUACCUAAUCAGAAAGCCACGGCUAACUACGUGCCAGCAGCCGCGGUAAUACGUAGGUGGCAAGCGUUAUCCGGAAUUAUUUGGCGUAAAGCGCGCGUAGGCGGUUUUUUAAGUCUGAUGUGAAAGCCCACGGCUCAACCGUGGAGGGUCAUUGGAAACUGUAAAACUUGAGUGCAGAAGAGGAAAGUGGAAUUCCAUGUGUAGCGGUGAAAUGCGCAGAGAUAUGGAGGAACCCCAGUGGCGAAGGCGACUUUCUGGUCUGUAACUGACGCUGAUGUGCGAAAGCGUGGGGAUCAAACAGG
This 429-nucleotide ribosomal RNA is filed under the name Actinomycetes bacterium. RNAcentral's name for it is "Actinobacteria bacterium partial 16S ribosomal RNA". It matches the Rfam family "Bacterial small subunit ribosomal RNA", at positions 355 to 776 of the family's 1533-position model. The record is from RNAcentral. Lineage: Bacteria; Bacillati; Actinomycetota; Actinomycetes.